GGUGGCGAGUGGCGGACGGGUGAGGAAUACAUCGGAAUCUACUUUUUCGUGGGGGAUAACGUAGGGAAACUUACGCUAAUACCGCAUACGACCUACGGGUGAAAGCAGGGGAUCUUCGGACCUUGCGCGAUUGAAUGAGCCGAUGUCGGAUUAGCUAGUUGGCGGGGUAAAGGCCCACCAAGGCGACGAUCCGUAGCUGGUCUGAGAGGAUGAUCAGCCACACUGGAACUGAGACACGGUCCAGACUCCUACGGGAGGCAGCAGUGGGGAAUAUUGGACAAUGGGCGCAAGCCUGAUCCAGCCAUACCGCGUGGGUGAAGAAGGCCUUCGGGUUGUAAAGCCCUUUUGUUGGGAAAGAAAUCCAGCUGGUUAAUACCCGGUUGGGAUGACGGUACCCAAAGAAUAAGCACCGGCUAACUUCGUGCCAGCAGCCGCGGUAAUACGAAGGGUGCAAGCGUUACUCGGAAUUACUGGGCGUAAAGCGUGCGUAGGUGGUCGUUUAAGUCCGUUGUGAAAGCCCUGGGCUCAACCUGGGAACUGCAGUGGAUACUGGGCGACUAGAAUGUGGUAGAGGGUAGCGGAAUUCCUGGUGUAGCAGUGAAAUGCGUAGAGAUCAGGAGGAACAUCCAUGGCGAAGGCAGCUACCUGGACCAACAUUGACACU
Molecule: ribosomal RNA, 664 nt
Filed under: Stenotrophomonas maltophilia
Lineage: Bacteria; Pseudomonadati; Pseudomonadota; Gammaproteobacteria; Lysobacterales; Lysobacteraceae
Description: bacterial SSU rRNA
Rfam family: Bacterial small subunit ribosomal RNA
Source: RNAcentral